Molecule: ribosomal RNA, 549 nt
Filed under: Ilyonectria sp.
Lineage: Eukaryota; Fungi; Ascomycota; Sordariomycetes; Hypocreales; Nectriaceae
Description: eukaryotic LSU rRNA
Rfam family: Eukaryotic large subunit ribosomal RNA
Source: RNAcentral
GCUCAAAUUUGAAAUCUGGCCCUCGGGUCCGAAUUGUAAUUUGUAGAGGAUGCUUUUGGUGAGGUACCUUCCGAGUUCCCUGGAACGGGACGCCAUAGAGGGUGAGAGCCCCGUCUGGUUGGAUACCGAUCCUCUGUAAAGCUCCUUCGACGAGUCGAGUAGUUUGGGAAUGCUGCUCUAAAUGGNAGGUAUAUGUCUUCUAAAGCUAAAUAUUGGCCAGAGACCGAUAGCGCACAAGUAGAGUGAUCGAAAGAUGAAAAGCACUUUGAAAAGAGAGUUAAAAAGUACGUGAAAUUGUUGAAAGGGAAGCGCUCAUGACCAGACUUGGGCUUGGUUGAUCAUCCAGGGUUCUCCCUGGUGCACUCUUCCAGCCCAGGCCAGCAUCAGUUCGCUGUGGGGGAUAAAGGCUUUGGGAAUGUGGCUCCUCCGGGAGUGUUAUANCCCAUUGUGUAAUACCCUGUGGUGGACUGAGGUUCGCGCAUCUGCAAGGAUGCUGGCGUAAUGGUCAUCANCGACCCGUCUUGAAACACGGACCAAGGAGUCGUCUUC